Molecule: ribosomal RNA, 451 nt
Filed under: uncultured bacterium
Lineage: Bacteria
Description: partial 16S ribosomal RNA
Rfam family: Bacterial small subunit ribosomal RNA
Source: RNAcentral
AACGAACGCUGGCGGCAGGCUUAACACAUGCAAGUCGCACGAAGGUUUCGGCCUUAGUGGCGGACGGGUGAGUAACGCGUAGGAAUCUAUCCAUUGGUGGGGGAUAACACUGGGAAACUGGUGCUAAUACCGCAUGAUACCUGAGGGUCAAAGGCGCAAGUCGCCUGUGGAGGAGCCUGCGUUCGAUUAGCUAGUUGGUGGGGUAAAGGCCUACCAAGGCGAUGAUCGAUAGCUGGUUUGAGAGGAUGAUCAGCAACGCUGGGACUGGGACACGGCCCAGACUCCUACGGGAGGCAGCAGUGGGGAAUAUUGGACAAUGGGGGCAACCCUGAUCCAGCAAUGCCGCGUGUGUGAGGAAGGUCUUCGGAUUGUAAAGCACUUUCGACGGGGACGAUGAUGACGGUACCCGUAGAAGAAGCCCCGGCUAACUUCGUGCCAGCCGCCGCGGUAA